GAUGAACGCUGGCGGCGUGCCUAAUACAUGCAAGUCGAGCGAACAGAUGAGGAGCUUGCUCCUCUGACGUUAGCGGCGGACGGGUGAGUAACACGUGGUUAACCUACCUCUACGACUGGGAUAACUUCGGGAAACCGGAGCUACUACCGGAUAAUAUAUUGCACCGCAUGGUUCACUAGUGAAAGUCGGUUUUGCUGUCACUUAUAGCUGGAUCCGCGCCGCAUUAGCUAGUUGGUAAGGUAGCGGCUUACCCAGGCUACGAUGCGUAACCGACCUGAGCGGGUGAUCGGCCACACGGGAAGUGAGACAGGGCCCAGACACCUACAGGAGGCAGCAGUAGGGAAUCUUCCGCAAGGGGCGAAUGCCGGACGGUGCAACGCCGCGUGAGGGAUGAAGGUGUUCGGAUCGGAGAGCGCUGUUAUUAGUGGAGAACAAAUGUGUAAUUAACUAGGCACGUCUUGACGGUACCGAAACAGAAAGCCACGGCUAACUACGUG
Molecule: ribosomal RNA, 497 nt
Filed under: uncultured bacterium
Lineage: Bacteria
Description: partial 16S ribosomal RNA
Rfam family: Bacterial small subunit ribosomal RNA
Source: RNAcentral